Molecule: RNA transcript, 1088 nt
Organism: Arabidopsis thaliana (thale cress)
Lineage: Eukaryota; Viridiplantae; Streptophyta; Magnoliopsida; Brassicales; Brassicaceae
Exons: 1
Source: RefSeq
UUUAUUCGAGAUGCUUGACAAUUUCAUAAUUGUUUAAUUAUUUAUAUAUGUCAAAGUUUUCUAAAGAAGGAAAAAAAUCAGAAAUGCUAUUAGAACAUAUUAGAGCAAAAUAUGUAAAAAAAAUUGAAAGAACAAGAGCAAUUAAGGGGGAAAAAACAAAAAUAUAAUUGCAUAUUGUGGAAUUAAGGAAAUGAAAAGGAAUGGAAUUUAAUUUAGAUCAUGAGAUGUGUCAAAUAAUACUUAUCAUAUUAGUUUUUUUUUACUAAUAUUUCGAUCCACAUGUGAACAUGUGAGAGCAAAACAUUAUUUUAUCUUUUUUUGUAAAGAUAAUAAUCAACCAAUGGAAAAGGGGAUAAAAAACAAAUUAAAGCAAUUGGUAUUUUUUUUUGCUAAACAUGUCAUAUAUAAAACGAAUUAAAUUGUAUAGUGUGGAUUAUAAAAUUUCGCUAAAGAGUUGUAGAUAUUUUAAAAGAUACGCAUAAACGGAAUUAAGUAAUGGAGUUUGCAAGAACAAAGAGGAUGUUGUGGAGAUUUUUUCUUAAACAAUUACGUCUAAGCAAGCAAUGGAACUAUGGAAGGAGUAAAGAAAGCAAAAGAAAGCGAGUAACCAAAUGAAAAUCGUAAGCAAACAACGAAACAAGUAGAGAAGUUCAUGUAAGAAAUAGUGACGACGAAAGUAAAAAAGAAAAAGAAAAACCAGAGGAUCAGGAAACAAGCAAACGAGUGUGUAAAGAAAUUGAUUGAAACAACUAAGUAAGCGAGUAUCCAAGAAGAAGGCUGCCCAAUGAAGUAAAGUAAAUCAAGGAACCAAGAAGGAAACAAACAAACAAGUCAAGCAACGAUCAAAUAAUCAAUGAAACAAAGAAGGAAUAAAGUGAACAAGUUAAACAUGUAAGCAAUCAGUGCAAGAAACAAGCAAGCACGUUACAAACUGAGAUAAGCACAAGAAACAAACAAGAACAAGUUAUUAACAAAUGUACUAAAGUAGCAAGCAAUGACCUAAUCAAUAAAUCAAGAAAGCAAAUAUAUAUGCAUGUGUAUGCAUGUAUGAAUGUAUAAAAUGUAUGCAUGUAUGGAUGUAUGCAUGA